GUAACAAUAUUUAGGAUUUAACAAAGAUGCAGAAGGAUGGUUAUACGCUUUACAAGACGACGCGCAACCCCGAUCCUAUGCAUGUUCGUCUGGAAGGUCCAGUGGGUUGGGUGGUGCAUUCAGGUGGUCAGAAGGUGGGGUUGAAGAGGAGAAGACAAGCAGAGGGAGAGAGAGAGAGAGAGGAAGAGGAAGCGAAGCAUCCCUGUAGGAGAGCGAGCGAGCGAGAGACAGCUCCCUUUCAGAUAGGAAUCUGGGACAGAUUUUGCCAACAGCCAGAAGCUGGGCCCUUUGACCUUGCUCCUUUUGCCCCCCUAAAAGCCGUAGGUAAGUUUCGUCUCGCUCGCUCGCUCAGUUCAUUCACAUCUGUCCUUUCAGCUUUGGGGUUCCGACCGGGGCUGGAGAAACAAUGGGAGUAA
Molecule: long non-coding RNA, 416 nt
Filed under: Pogona vitticeps (central bearded dragon)
Lineage: Eukaryota; Metazoa; Chordata; Lepidosauria; Squamata; Agamidae
Description: lncRNA (ENSPVIG00000008301.1)
Source: RNAcentral